GACGAACGCUGGCGGCGUGCUUAACACAUGCAAGUCGAGCGGUAAGGCCCUUUCGGGGGUACACGAGCGGCGAACGGGUGAGUAACACGUGGGUGAUCUGCCCUCAGCUCUGGGAUAAGCCUGGGAAACUGGGUCUAAUACCGGAUAUGACUCCAUGACGCAUGUUGUGGGGUGGAAAGCCUUGUGCGGCUGAGGAUGGGCCCGCGGCCUAUCAGCUUGUUGGUGGGGNGAUGGCCUACCAAGGCGACGACGGGUAGCCGGCCUGAGAGGGCGGCCGGCCACACUGGGACUGAGACACGGCCCAGACUCCUACGGGAGGCAGCAGUGGGGAAUCUUGCGCAAUGGGCGAAAGCCUGACGCAGCGACGCCGCGUGAGGGAUGACGGCCUGG
RNAcentral lists this ribosomal RNA (390 nucleotides) under uncultured bacterium. RNAcentral's name for it is "bacterial SSU rRNA". It matches the Rfam family "Bacterial small subunit ribosomal RNA", at positions 28 to 419 of the family's 1533-position model. The record is from RNAcentral.